This 22-nucleotide microRNA is filed under the name Mus musculus (house mouse). RNAcentral's name for it is "mmu-miR-6958-5p". The record is from miRBase by way of RNAcentral. Lineage: Eukaryota; Metazoa; Chordata; Mammalia; Rodentia; Muridae.
GUGGGAGAAGAGGCUGCUGUGG